GGUUGCGAUCAUACCAGCACUAAUGCACCGGAUCCCAUUAGAACUCCGCUGUUAAGCGUGCUUGGGCGAGAGUAGUACUAGGAUGGGUGACCCCCUGGGAAGUCCUCGUGUUGCAACCCC
This 120-nucleotide ribosomal RNA is filed under the name Helianthus annuus (common sunflower). Lineage: Eukaryota; Viridiplantae; Streptophyta; Magnoliopsida; Asterales; Asteraceae. The record is from RNAcentral.